CCGCGUGAGUGAUGAAGGCUUUCGGGUCGUAAAACUCUGUUGUUAGGGAAGAACAAGUGCUAAUUGAAUAAGCUGGCCCCUUGACGGUACCUAACCACAACCCCACGGCUAACUACGUGCCUACAGCCGCGGUAAUACAUAGGUGGCAAGCGUUAUCCGGAAUUAUUGGGCGUAAAGCGCGCGCAUGUGGUUUCUUAACUCUGAUGUGGAAGCCCACGGCGCAACCGUGGAGGGUCAUUGAAAACUGGGAAACUUGAAUGCAGAAGAGGAAAGUGGAAUUCCAUGUGUAGCGGUGAAAUGCGUAAAGAUAUGGAGGAACACCAGUGGCGAAGGCGACUUUCUGGUCUGUAACUGACACUGAGGCGCGAAAGCGUGGGGAGCAAACAGGAUUACAUACCCUGGUAGUCCACGCCGUAAACGAUGAGUGCUAAGUGUUAGAGGGUUUCCGCCCUUUAUUGCUGAAG
This 464-nucleotide ribosomal RNA is filed under the name Bacillus cereus. RNAcentral describes it as "bacterial SSU rRNA". It matches the Rfam family "Bacterial small subunit ribosomal RNA", at positions 397 to 851 of the family's 1533-position model. Lineage: Bacteria; Bacillati; Bacillota; Bacilli; Caryophanales; Bacillaceae. The record is from RNAcentral.